GACAAUGUGGCUUCUGAUUUUUCCAUUACCCUUGGCUUAAAAUUUAUACCUAUAUCCAGGAAUAUUUUUACCAAACCAUAUCGAACAAAAUCAUUACAUGCCAACCCAUCCCAAUGUAAUAGAAAUAGACCCGAACACAACCUGACUGGACCGAGCAAACCAAGUCUAACUGAAUAAUUACAUCCAAUUAGCAUAAAUAGGAUCGAGUGCAGUAUGUCUGAAACCAAAUUAGUUCUCUUUGUAUUUUCUAUGAGGUUGGUGUAUUCCCAGAGUUUUGUUUUUUUUUUUUCCUAGAGAUUAAAUAAUCCCUGAAAAUAUCAAAUAGCUGUGCUUAUUUGCGUUAGAACUUUUCUUACUUGCCUCGAGCUCAGGUGUUGGCCUUCCAAAUUUCCACUCUAUUUGGACAUCUUGGAGCAGAAAGAAAUUCAAGGGAGCUAACCGGAGAGCCUGGGAUCAGCUUGUCAUGGCUCUGAGUUGGAACGUUUGGUUGGAAAGAAAUCGAAGAAUCUUUAAUCGGAAAAAUUGCAGAGUCUUCACAACUCUCCAGACCUAUCACUUAUGGGAACAUCCUGGAUCCCCGAAAAUUGUACAUGGGCACAAUUGGAUUUGGAAGCGUUUGAAGGCUCUGAUACCAUCUUCUUGUCUUCUCCUUCCUCUCAACAGCCGAUUCGGAUCUUCCACAGAUGCGUCCUGACAUAUAAAUUUAAUUCAAUAUGAAAUCUUAUAAUUUUGUUAAUUAUACUGAUCCAAUGUACAAAUUAGAUAAAAUUUUCAGUCCAAUCAUCCAAAUAGACUCUCAAUGAAAAAUUUACCACCUUACAUAUAAUUGUCUCAUGUUGACCAUUUGUUAUCUGAUGGUAGAGGGCAAAGCUUUCUUUGAACAAUAUGAAUCUUUGUGAAGCUUGGGAUUCUUAUAAAUCUCCCACUUAAAAUUCAAAUGGGAAACCAUCAACAUGCAAAACAAUCGAAUGUUGCCGACUUCCCAAGUUUGAUGAAGUUAAAACAAAAAGGAAAGUUCCUCUCAAGAACACAUUUGAUAGAAAAAUAUAUAGGAAGGUCUGAUUUGAUUAAGAAAAACCAAGACUAACACUAUUAUAGAGCCAUAGUUUAGCGCAAACAACAGAAAUGACUAAAGUUAACCCUAAAUCGUCAUAGUUUUAGUGGGUUUUCUCUUUGCAUUUGUGGAUGCAAGUGAGGUUUUUUUGGAAUGGUGUACUUAUUCAAUUGUAUAUGUGAUUUAAUUUUUUUUAAUUAGUUUGUUGGUUGAUUUUAACGUCGGUGUGUUUCUGAGGUAGCAUUUUUUUUCUUAGCUCCUCUAAAGCCCUCGAUAUGCAAUCUCACCCUUUUUUUUUUUCAAAAAAAAAAAAUCCUCUUUCCCAUUGGUCAAAAAGAGCUCAUUCAACUCUUUUGAGGAGGCGUUUGGUUCGUAACUAAAAUCAAAAUAAAAAUGGAUUGAAAUUAGAAUCAGAAUGGUCAAAUUCUCUGAAGUAUUUGGUUUGUGAUCGGAAUCGAAAUCGAAAUCAAAAUUGAAAUGAAAAAUUAAAUCCAUAGAGGAGAACAGGGAUUGAGUUCUAUAUAGAUUGACCCAUUCCCAUCCCACCUCGAAAUCGAAAUGGAAAUAAGACACCUUCCAACCAAACGGUUGGAAUGUGAGUCAUCCAUUUCGAUUUCGAUUUCAAAUCCCCACUCUCUCCAACCAAACAUCUUCUAAGUUUAGUUUGCUGUUGUCACCCAAUCUUUGGACAAACUCCAUCACAUCUACUUGGUGUGCAGGUUAUGUGCAGAUUGGGCAUACUUUUUUGAGUCCAAAACCCUUGAUCCACCCAACUCCAGAAAUAGGUCAUAGUGUGCGAACGAAACCUUGCCAUCGACCCAAAUGCCCGCUCCUAUGUAUGUGAACGAUCAACACACGCAUGCACAAAGAAAGAGGAAAGAAAGGAGGAGGAGAAGCAUAUAUGUAUAUAUAUAUAUAUUUGAUCAACACAAAAGAUAGGAAGCAACGUAACAAAGCCAUUUCUCUCUGGCGCCUUAACAUCAAAUUAGUGAGGACCAUCACACCAAAUGGUUCCCCGUACAGGAGAGAGCUUUCCCCCAUCUCACACCUAAUGCCUCGCUUGCAUGAAGUAAGACGAGACGUGGGUCAACUACCUCAGGGAUAGAUACCACCAGCACCACCACCGGCGCCACCUCCAAGUACACCACCAACGCCGCCAGCGCCUCCAGCACGUCCGAAGCCACCAAGUCCGGCCACGCCACCGAAACCACCAACCCCUCCCGCCGCUCCACCGAGGACUGGCAGGCCACCGAUAGCGGCGCCACCUACGCCGCCGUAGCCACCAACUCCACCGAUGACAAAGUUCUUCUGGUCGUCGAGACCACCAGCAGAAUUCUUGCUGGCCGGAUUCCCGGCCGGCGUUUACUGGGAUUUGGCCCGGCACAUUCCUAGCGUUAGCUAGAACUAGCGCCAGUCCCAGCACUGCGAACACCACACACCACCUUGCCAUUUUUCUCUCUCCCUUCCUCAUCCCGUAGCCCUUGCACCUCUCAAGAUAAAAAAAAAAAAAGUAGAUUAAAAAAAAAGUGGCCAACCUUUCAUUGCUAUCAAAGAUCCUUUUUUUCUUUCUUUUUUAUUUUUUUUAAUAUAUAUAUAUAUAUAAGUUAGAGAGAGUAAUGGCUUUCAAAGCCAUGAGCACCAACAGAGGGGCACAGGAGAUACAGAAAUGACCCUGUAGCUAGCUCUUCAAGGUGCUGGGCCUACUACAGACCUAUGAUUUGGGCCCUACAUUUUGGGGCCUUUGAUUUUAUGCUUUUCUUUUGGAACGGGAGCUGUUGGGGUUUGGGAGACGAGCUGCUGGCAUACGGUUGAACUUGUACAGCUCAGGAUCAGGUGCACAUCAGAGCUGGUCGAAGACGAGCUUCAGGCUUUAAUUAUAUUCAUUUUUAGUUAGACUCAGGACCGAAUGUAUUUUAAAUUUUGAUUUUUUUUUUAUUUUUUUUUAUGUCUGAACUAACUUCUAUUAUCAAAAAGAAAAAAAAAAAAUCACUCUGUACUUUUAGCGUGCGACGUGACACGAGGGGUUCAUGCUUUGCACCAUCAAACCCUUAUGAAUUACCCGUGAAAACAUCUUGCAAAUUACACUAAUUUUGUUUUACUGAAAAAUUAUGCUAACUUCGUUGGUCUCACCAAUAUUCUUGUUGCAUGCCAUACGUCAUCUCUUAUAUCACAUGGGCUCUAUAUGUCCAUGAUCAUGAAUUGGAUCUUUCCAAUUCAGCAUUGAACUAGAGGCAUAUGAAAAAGGCCUUUUAUAAUAUUUAUAAUCAUAUUUAUCUGAUACCCAAUAGCUCUCCAUGACUCCAUCUACAGCUUACAUGUAUCAUUUUUCCAUUAUUUAUUCUAGCCAGACUGGUUUAAUAAAUUUGAUUUAUCAAAAAAAAAGAAGAAGAUAAUAUAGUACUGAUUCAAACUAAAUCGUCUAGCCUUGAAAUCAGAUUCUCUAAGACUAUUUCAAAAUAUUUUUUUUUUAAAAAAAGAAAUUGUAAAAAGAAAAUAUACGUACGACCAGGCAAAAAUGAUAGAAUUGGAGGUUCGAUCCACAUCUUUCACUCCAACCGAAAAUAACCGCACAGAAAGGCUAUCAUAUUGUCGACGUGCGGGAAGACCGUGAUAGCUACGUGCCAAUUGAAAAGGUGGUAGCCUUCGUCGAACGGACUAGAUCUUACUAAUUGGACGGCCCAGAUCUGCUAACACCGUUACAAGGUGCCGCAUGUAGCAACUUUUCCUAACAGCAAAUCUUUUGUGGCGGACGAUACAGUAUUAGAUGUUUCUGCUGAAGGUUACGAGCUUGUACCCAAAAAAAAAAAAGGUUACAAGCAAACAACAACUACUUUUUGGUUCCCAGUCCCAAGAAGAGACAAUGGGACUGGGCUACAGCAAGACUGGUGAGCACAGCACAGCAAACUGGUCCGGCCCCUUAAAUGGGUUGAGGUGGACAAAUCAUGCAUGCAUUUGUUUGGACCUGGCAAAACAUCGAGACUUUGAGUAACUAUAAGUUGUGUAGGGUUGGUAUUGGACACUGUAGCUCUAAGAAACACUGCUGAUGCCACAAAAGUUGCUGUUUCUCUGUACAAGAUAGCUCUAAGGUAAUUAGCAAUGAGCAUUGGUUUUCUUUUUCUAAAAGAGAAUCAAUUCUGGAUCUAAUAAGCAUCAAAUGAAGCAGUGUCUUUCAUUAAUGGUUUUAUUAGUCAUACAAAAUAACACCCUCUCUUUGGGUGUUUUGAGGUCUACAAGGACUAUGAUCAAGUAAUCCAAUUCCACAAGUUUGAAUCAUUAUGUGUUUUUAUUGUGCCGCAUGCCCCAUCGUACGUGUACGGCAUCUGCACUCCAUAUCAACAUCUACAAUGCUUGAGAUCAAGGAAGAAUCCCAAGGAUUUGAACGAGUGGCAUACAUAGGUAAAGGGAGUGCAAAUGCAAAAAUAAUGCUGAACUACAUAAUCUACCUCUAGAUUUUCAUUGUAAGUGUAGUUGUCCUGGUACCCCUGCUUUUGUUGGCAAAUGCAGUAAAUUGCUAUAGAUUGUCUAUUUUUGUUAUAUUAGACCCACUUUUUUUUUGGCAAAAUCAUUAAAUCACUGCUCUUGACAUUUUUUCUUAUCUUUCACCAGAUUUCUUUGUCAUCAUUGUGUGUGGCAAGGUGGACGAGACUCGCUUGAAAAUGUCUAGGAGAGGUUCCAUUACUAGUUUAUGGAAGCAUACAUAUAAAUAUGUAUAUAUUUAUAUAUAUAACAAGCACUGUGUGCCAAUUAGUCCUUCCUAAGCUAGUUAGCAUCCCUGUCAACUUAGAAAAAAAGUCACGAAUUCGAAACGUCACAGUCACAUUAUACAGUUUUGCACAAGGAAUUCUAACAGCUUGAGCUUGCCAUUCAAAAAUGUUCCAUGAACAGCUUCAACUCGGCGUGUCAUACUUUUAGUAUAUAUAUACCAGUACUAGUCUUCAAAGAAAUACAAGUAGCGACAUAAUUGCUAAAGCUUGUCUCCAAGUUACCAGCAUUGGGAUAGUGCAUUGCAUUUUAUCUACGUACCUGCUUCUUUUGUUUCUAUCUAUGGACUUGGAGGAGGAGAUUUGUCCUUCAACUGCUAUUGUAUGUGGUCCGUUUAGAGGGCAGCGCUGGGAGUUCGUCCUUGUUCUUGCACCCCUUCCCGUAAAGGACUUAUGGAUGCUUCAAGUUUUCUCCCACAAAGGAAUUAGCUUUAACCUCCCUAGGUCCUGGCCUUCUAAAUAUUCUGCUGACAUGGUACAUAUCCGGUAAUUAUAUUUGUUAAGAAUUGGACCUUAAUUUUUUAAACACCCAGGCUGGUCCACGUUAGAUUGUUCUUUGCUUGUUUGCAAUGCCCAUGUUAGAUUUUGGGCCAAGUGUGUGUAUUCCAAUGCAAUGAGCCUAGUAUGAGGCGUGGGACUAAGCCUGAGAAAACCCAUGGCCUUGUGUGUCCCAUAAGUUGUGCGACCCUACCCUAACCAUAAUAAAUAAAAGACCUGGGCUCCAAUUGGAUGGGGUGCCGGUAUGAGAAUGACGAAUUAGAGCUCUUCAUCACAACCUGAUUAACUAUUUCAAUCAAAAGAAAUAAUCUGCUGAUUGUUGUUCAAAAGAUCAGGUCUAGCUCAUGUAGCUCAAGAGCUGCAUGAAAUUGGAUCUAUGUUUAAUUUCUGACAUAGAAACCCUGUGAAAUAUGAUCAUUUGAUCACUGAACCAUGUUAAUAGCUUGGUUUUCAGUUCAUUUUUUCACCAACCGUAUCUACGCCUGUCCAUCUUUCUAGCUAGUUUUGUCCGGGUUAGAGAGCACAAAUAGAUAGGGAAGAAGGGCAACGUGGUCGAUAAAAGGUGGCAUGGUUACGAGGAACCAGGAACUAUGCUCCUGAUUAUCUCAUGAAAACAUGGCAGAAGAUAAUGGCUUGGGAAAUUAGUGAGGUGAAUUUGCAGUUACCUUUAAAUAUCUACAAUUAAUAAAGAUUGAAAUUAUAUAAUAAAAAUAUACACAAAGCUACUGAAUGCUCGAAGAAAUUUUUAUUUCCCUUUUAUGUGUGCAUGCAUAUGUUGGACCUAUUGGUGCAUCAUUAGUAGAUAGGAAAAUAAUUUUCCAUAUUUUUUUUAUACAUUGGAAGGUGACCCCUGGAUCUCUUAUACAUAUUUUUUUAUAUUAUAAUUUUCUAGAUAAAUUACUAAAAUCUAUCCAUAUUUUUCAUACUAAUCUUUAUCUCUUUUAUAUAUAUAUAUAUAUAUAGAAUAAGCUUCUUAUUGUCUCACCACCCUCAAGAGAUUGUUGGUUUUGAUAGCAAUCAUACAUAGAUGGAAUCUGUUUGAGGGCAAAGUGAAUGAUGGUAUAUUCCUUAGUCUACAUAAAUUUCUAUGCAAAGAAAGCAUCAUCCUCCAUUAAUGGCAUCGCACGUGCAGCCUUAUGCAUGGACUAAUUAGAUAUGGUCCACGUGAUUAACAUAACGAUGGUAGAUCCGGUGCCUAAAAUGGAACUUCUUUUUGGGAGCCCAUAGGACAGCCUGCCCCAAGUUUAUAACUUAAAAAAGUACCGGACGUUGCAUGCAAAAUCCUCCUUUUCUUUUAAGGAUAAAAAGAGGCCUAAGAUCGUCUCAAAGUACUAAACUAAUGAACCCGUCAGGUUUCCAGUGGGCGGGGCGCUUAGCGACCCCUCAUCGGGCGAGGCAGCCGUGCAUCAAAAUCCCAAACUCCGGAGCCAGCAAAGCGAAGGAAAGGGAGAAGGCCCCCUAAGCCCGUGGGCCCGGCCGGUUCCAAAGCGAGGGUGCCCCAAAUGAACAUUUCACGUUCGGAGCCGGCUUGCUUUUGCCCUCCUCCUCUUCGAGGUCCUACAAAAGCGCAGCAGAAUCUCUUCCAACUCCAAAGAUAAAGAAAGAUUCAAAAGAAAAAGAAAAGAAGGAAAUAUACCACCCAUCCAACAACAGUCGCGGCCACAUAUAAAAAUACUCAAAAACUACCACCCCACAUUGCCAGUCUUUGCCUCAGACCCCACCUUCCCCCAACCACCUCCUUCGCUUUGCUCUUCCUCCUCUCCUCAUCCAAUGCCUGACCCCUUCUUCAUCUCAUUAUAUACCAAUGCCCCUUUUUAUCCUAUAUCCUUCUUCUAGUAUGGAAGCCACCCUCUUGCUUUGAGAAGAAAAGGAGGGUGGACAGACUCUGAGACGGAGAUAAAGAGGGCUGGUGGGAGAAGAGAGGGAGGGACAAAGAAGAAGAAGAAAGGAAAAGCCAGAAGAAAGACUAAGGGAUGGUCGAGUCUGCUAGGUCCCUGAGGGCCGUGGUUAGUGGGAUAGCAUGCUUGUUUUGUAUGGUGAUUUUGGUGUCUGUUACUAUAGAAAGUGGAGGAAGAACAAAAGCUAUGCCACCAUUGGCUGCUGCUCCUGUGGGGAGUUUGGUGAGUUUGGAGAGCUCAUCAACAGAUAGACCCAUUGAUCAAAUGAAUUCUGACCCUUUCUCUGCCACCAAGCGAAGGGUGCCGAAUGGGCCAGAUCCCAUUCACAACAGGUACUUCUAUCUAUAUCUGAAGUUCUAGUUCCUUGUAUUUUAUUUUUCUUUCUAGCUGUAACCUUUUUUUUUUUUUUUAUUCUAUAUUUUAAUUUUCAUAAUUUCCAUUCUCUAUGUAUGAAUCUAUUUACAAAAACUUUAUAUUGAUGAAGCAAAAGAAAGUAUUCAGCUUCCAUGACAGUCAAUAGAUUUGUCAUUGCUGCUUUUGGUCUUUGAAUGCUGUCUUGGAGUAGUAGUACAAUUAGAUGUUUUGGAAUUAAGUGCUUGAAACCUUUUCUUUGACCAUGGAAUAGCACUUAAUAGCUAUGCCUAUAAUGAACGCUAUCAUCUUGUUAGCUGACCUUUCUACUUGUGUCACUUGGACAUCAAUGCUCGAUGCCUGCCCCUAUGGAAUGGAAAUGUUAGCUUAAGAGUUCUUCUUGUAUAGAAGCUUCCACUAGCUAGAGAAUAUCAUGGAUCUCAUCUCAUGAAUCAUUAUUUUGAAUGAUUUGGUAUAUCUUCUUUUUUGUCGUUGGUGUUUCUCCAAGGAGCCCGAGCACGAGUGCCAUUCAAGUUGUCAAGGACCUACUUUGGAGGGCUUCAUGGGCCCAGUCAUAAGUUUCAGGGUCCCUAGCUUUGUUUUAGGCCUGUGAGCUCAAAAUAAAAAGAAGAGAAAAGAAAAGGUGGUCUCUCUGCACUUUAUUCAUCAUGCCCACAUUCCUCAAUCAUGCUCAUCCUCACAAACCGUUGCAACAAAAGCAAUUGGAUAUUGUGAAGAACUAAGAUAUAAUUAUGCAAGCCACUUAUGAACGUCACACAUCACGACAGAAUCAAACUCAUGCAUGCAAAACGGCACACAUCAUAACAAAAUCUACUUGGGUCCCAUGAACAGAGUGCAUAAGAUCUCACUUACUAAUUAUUACUUAAUCAAAAGUCUGAUGGUUUGAUAUAGGGUCACCUGAACUUAAGAAUUUGUGAGACUAUGUUGCAGCCUGCAUGUCGUUGUUGCUCCAUGUCUAACCACCAUUCUAUGGAUGUGUUUCUCAGGAG
This 8572-nucleotide long non-coding RNA is filed under the name Elaeis guineensis (African oil palm). RNAcentral describes it as "long non-coding RNA (EGUI_LNC013895)". The record is from RNAcentral. Lineage: Eukaryota; Viridiplantae; Streptophyta; Magnoliopsida; Arecales; Arecaceae.